Molecule: long non-coding RNA, 903 nt
Filed under: Parus major (Great Tit)
Lineage: Eukaryota; Metazoa; Chordata; Aves; Passeriformes; Paridae
Description: lncRNA (ENSPMJG00000002041.1)
Source: RNAcentral
AACACAGUAAUUAGGGGAGCAGGAGCUGCACUGAUGAAAUCAGCAGAGGCUGAGGUGCUCUGUGUGGGUGGAUGGUUCACCAGGCUGUUUCCAGGUGAGGAAAGGUGAGCUGGAAAACUUCCAUUGCCAGUAUCUUCCAUAAGACACCUCUCCAUGCAGAAGGAGAGACAGUACAUUUCCCAUUGCAAGUGUUCCAGCAGCAGAGAUUGGCAGGUGUGUUCAUGUAAGAGGGCCCUGCACAAGCUGCUGAGCCUGGAUCCUGUUGGGAAGCUGCUGCAGCUUUUCCAGAAGUGAGAGCUCCCUCGUUCUUGUUUUUGUGAGAAGUGAGUAGUCCUGCACAUGCAAAGUCUUCAUUAAUGACUACAUCACAAUGAGCUGGGUUCCUUCAUUCCUCAUCCCACCUGCCAGCUCCUGGGCUGCUCCACAUUCUGUCAAAACCAGGCAUCUUGGGCAGAUUUACUCAAUGUCCCACAUCCUUCCCUGUGCACCCUCUUCCUGCUGGUAGCCAGCCACAGUGAUGUUACAACACCCAUUUCCAUCUCUGUGGAUUCCCUUUGGAAGGAGACACAGAGGGGUGUCUGGAAGUGCUUUUUCCCAUGUUUAGUACAGGGCAGCAGCUGAGGGAAGCAGCACACUGUGGUCCAUCUCCUGCCAGCUGUGCAUCAGCCCCCAGAGCAGCUCCAUGAACACACGUUGGCUUCCCUGCAUGGCACAGGGGUGGUAGAGACCUUGGAGCUGCAACAGGACAGGACCUCUGUGCUGGACACACAGCUGGGCAGGGGCAGCAGGACAUGGGGAUCCCCUGACAUCCUUUGUGGAUGGAUCAUUUGCCCUGUGGCUGCCAAUUGGUGCCCAGUGCCCUCCUUCAGUGGCGCAGGUGUGAGGCUGCCUCGCCCCUGAUUU